RNAcentral lists this ribosomal RNA (460 nucleotides) under uncultured bacterium. Its description in RNAcentral is "partial 16S ribosomal RNA". It matches the Rfam family "Bacterial small subunit ribosomal RNA", at positions 338 to 795 of the family's 1533-position model. The record is from RNAcentral.
CCUACGGGAGGCAGCAGUGAGGAAUAUUGGUCAAUGGACGAGAGUCUGAACCAGCCAAGUAGCGUGAAGGAUGACUGCCCUAUGGGUUGUAAACUUCUUUUAUAUGGGAAUAAAACAGGGUAUGCAUACCCUCUUGUAUGUACCAUAUGAAUAAGGAUCGGCUAACUCCGUGCCAGCAGCCGCGGUAAUACGGAGGGUCCGAGCGUUAUCCGGAUUUAUUGGGUUUAAAGGGAGCGUAGGUGGAUUGUUAAGUCAGUUGUGAAAGUUUGCGGCUCAACCGUAAAAUUGCAGUUGAAACUGGCAGUCGUGAGUACAGUAGAGGUGGGCGGAAUUCGUGGUGUAGCGGUGAAAUGCUUAGAUAUCACGAAGAACUCCGAUUGCGAAGGCAGCUCACUGGACUGCAACUGACACUGAGGCUCGAAAGUGUGGGUAUCAAACAGGAUUAGAUACCCCGGUAGUC